RNAcentral lists this ribosomal RNA (486 nucleotides) under uncultured bacterium. Its description in RNAcentral is "bacterial SSU rRNA". It matches the Rfam family "Bacterial small subunit ribosomal RNA", at positions 30 to 512 of the family's 1533-position model. The record is from RNAcentral.
AUUGAACGCUGGCGGCAUGCCUUACGCAUGCAAGUCGAACGGCAGCACGGGAGCAAUCCUGGUGGCGAGUGGCGAACGGGUGAGUAAUAUAUCGGAACGUGCCCAGUCGUGGGGGAUAACGUAGCGAAAGCUACGCUAAUACCGCAUACGAUCUACGGAUGAAAGCGGGGGAUCGCAAGACCUCGCGCGAUUGGAGCGGCCGAUAUCAGAUUAGCUAGUUGGUGGGGUAAAAGCUCACCAAGGCGACGAUCUGUAGCUGGUCUGAGAGGACGACCAGCCACACUGGAACUGAGACACGGUCCAGACUCCUACGGGAGGCAGCAGUGGGGAAUUUUGGACAAUGGGCGCAAGCCUGAUCCAGCAAUGCCGCGUGCAGGAUGAAGGCCUUCGGUUGUAACUGCUUUGUACGGAACGAAACGGUGAGCUCUAAUAAAGACUUGCUAAUGACGGUACCGUAAGAAUAAGCACGGCUAACUACGUACCACG